Molecule: long non-coding RNA, 301 nt
Organism: Symphalangus syndactylus (siamang)
Lineage: Eukaryota; Metazoa; Chordata; Mammalia; Primates; Hylobatidae
Source: RefSeq, a predicted model, not a curated record
ACUGAUGCUUCUUGUGUGACCUCCCAAGUAUUUAUUUAUGUAACACUUAUUGAAUGAAGAUGUGUGAAGAUGGAUAUUUGAAAGUAAUGCGUUUCACUCAUUCAUGUGGAGUCUUCACCUGAUGGAUGCCUCAUUCUGUGAAUAAACUGGCGGUGUUGCUGUAUACAGACCACAUCUUUCUUCUAAAGCUGCAAGGCACACAUUUAAACUCAAAUCUCAGAGAGUGCAGCACCUAGAUUGCAGUACAAAUUGGUAUGACCAACCAGACCCAGCAACCAUCGAUCUUCAUUCUUCCUGCCAC